GGCCCUAUAGUGCAGUGGUAGCACAUAGAGUCUCUAUACUCUGUAGCUCAGGUUCAAUUCCUGAUAGGUCCA
Hyaloscypha finlandica is the source of this 72-nucleotide non-coding RNA. Lineage: Eukaryota; Fungi; Ascomycota; Leotiomycetes; Helotiales; Hyaloscyphaceae. The record is from the annotation of a GenBank genome assembly.